This 97-nucleotide transfer RNA is filed under the name Planctomycetota bacterium. RNAcentral's name for it is "tRNA-Sec". It matches the Rfam family "Selenocysteine transfer RNA". Lineage: Bacteria; Pseudomonadati; Planctomycetota. The record is from RNAcentral.
GGGAGUGGAUCAUGACUGGUGUUGUGCUCGGUCUUCAAAGCCGAUGGAGUGUUGGUCGCCAAUGCUCGGUGGGUUCGAUUCCCAUGCACUCCCGCCA